AACAUAGCACCUCAUCUCUGGCCUGAAGACUCAGCAUGACCUUUCAGCCCUCUUCUCAGGCCACCCAGCGGCUUUCCAUUUGUAGUGAAAAGAGCACAGAUUGACAAUGGCUGGGUCUGCUGGACAGGACCACACAGACAGACAUCUGUUCGUGCCUGCAUACGCAGGCACGGUGGACGGGGUCCAGACCCAAUGCCCAAGUAAGACUGAACAGAAAAGGUGGCACCAAACUCAGCUGCAGAUUGUUGGUGAUCUGUGAGGUGCAGCCCAUACCACAAGGUGCUGGAGAGCUAAGUCAACAGCUGCCUCGGUGGUAAAGUACUCGCCUCACAUGCACAAGGCCCUGGGGUCAGUUCCCAGCACUUUAGACAACAAUAAUGAAGCAGGGCCAAGAGCCAGGAGUCAAGUGCAGCUGAGAGCGAAGCCCUCCCCCGCCCCCAUGUUACUAUACCUGUACACGGCAUGGGCAGAGUCCUCUCAAAUCUCACAACAAACGCCCAGGACAUUCUACCGAUGAGAAAACUGAGGCUAGAUAAUUUGUUUAACAUCAUGUAACCAAAAGGCAAAGCCUGAGUUCAGGGCCAGGUGCAAGAUUCCAGCCCAAAUAUCAGGCAGUACUUCCAUGACGUGCCUGCUGACCUUAGAUCCUCAGAUGCAAAGUGAACAACGUCACCUCUCUUUCCUACAGAGUUACUGGAGGAAAGUGGGCUACACACCUCUCUGUAGAUGGACAGACAGACAGAUGGACGUACAGAACUUUCUAAGCCUUGAUUUUUUUUUUCCUUUUCAGUCUUGGGAUUAGGGAUUCAGAAUGUGCGAGCUGGCGGAACAUUCCAGAUAAUCUUACCACAAAAAUCUGAGCCCGACAACUUGAGAAACUUUCUUUAGCUCAUGAGAAAGAGUCGAAAGGAUACGUGGAGAUGAAGCAGCCUGUGCCAGAUUUGGCAAAGUCUAAGAAGAUGUGAGGGGCGAGGAUCCUGACAGCUUGUACCUUGGCCUCUCUGAGCCCUGCUCUCUCUCCCAGGAAAUGAGCCCAUAGCCUCUUCUGCACCCGGUCACCCUUUGUCUGGUUGGCUCUGCUCCAAGUCACCUCCCCCAGGGCCUAAACCAACACAUUAACUGUGCCUUUCCCUGAGCCAGGGACCACAGAGGAAGCCCCCAAGUAGGUUCUCUGAGGAUGGGAGAUGAUCACUAGCUGGCUGUUGGCUUUGUAUGUCAAAGAACUGGGCACCUGAUGGACAGAACCAUCAGGUAUAGCUGACCUGGGAAGACUGAGGCAUCAGACUGGCCAUUUGGAAUCUGCCCUCUCUGCCCGUCAUCCCAGGUAAUGGCAAAGCUGCAUCCAUCUGCAGAGACUGGUGGGGCAUCUGGCGGGCCAGGCUGCCUCCUGCACUCUGGAACAUUCCAGUUGUGGGCUCUCAGAGAUGAGCACACUCCUAGGGAGACAGAUGUUGAGAAACAGCAGUGCAAUGAAGUUGAUCACUGACAGCUUUGUCCACAGCCAGGAGGCCUCUGUGAGCAGAGAACAGGGCACCGGGGAAGGACUCAGGCAGGGGCUGGGCUCAUCUCCUCGUGCUCAGCCCCACUUUUCCUGAAGAACUUUCUUCUCACCCUUUUUAUUUGUUUACUUUGUUUUUGAGAUACAGUCUCUAGUAGUCCAACCUGGUCUCCAACUCAUUGUAUAGGCAAAAACGGCCUUGAAUUUCUGGUUCUCCUGCCUCAUCUCCCAACUGGCAUGUACCACCAUGGAGUUUGUAAGGAGCUAAUUAUCCAGACUAAGGCUUUGUGCAUGUUAGGGUAAACACUCUAUCAACUUUGCACGCCACCUUUUGUGAGACUCCGCUCUGUCAAAUGUGUGAAGAUAUACGUAUGCUGACCCAUGUGUGUGCCUAUACUUACACGGGCACGCUGUGUGUGACACAUGCAUGAGUGCACGCAUUUAACACUUGUGUGAGCUCGUAUGUUUGUGCAAGUGCGCACUCCUAGGCCUCCUUCUGACUCCCAUCCCCACUUGGGCUUCCAGGGUCAAUUCUUGGCUUCUUCCCUCCAGAGUCUAUGCUCUCCCCUGAGGCUCUCACUUUUGCCCACAGCGUCCUUUCUCCUUCAGGAAACGAAACAAGCCACCCAAUCAAAUAUGCGUCUCCAACACAGACUUCUUCCCAUGCUCUCACACCCACAGAGGAUGGUCUGGACAGGUCUGAAACCUGGGACCCUAAAACUGUCUCCUUUGGUUUUCCUAAACUCCCAGUGCCUACAUUGUCAAGGUCGUCGUCGUGGUGGUGGUGGUGGUGGUGGUGGUCGUCGUCGUCGUCGUCGUCGUCGUCGUGACCCUUCCUGGUUCCUUCACUUUCUCAUCUCCGGGAAAGGCCCGGCUCCUUCCCGUGGUCCUCUCACCAGAACCUCACUAACUCCUGACCCAUCCAUUCAGUCGGGGUCAACAAAAUCAUUUUUUAAAUCACAAGUGUGGAGCCUGAUGACACACGCCUGUAAUCUCAGCUACUAGGGAGGCUGACACAGGAAAGCGGCACUUCAAGGCUUACCUGGGCAACUUAGUAAGACAUCAUCUCAAGACAAGAUAGAUAGAUAGAUAGAUAGAUAGAUAGAUAGAUAGAUAGAUAGAUAGAUAGAUAGAUGAUAGAUAAAAUAAAAAAUAAAAGGAAGGCUGGGAAUGUGGCUCAGUGGGCAGGUUUCCCUAACAGGCAUAAGGCCAUUGCUUCAAUCUCAAUUCUAAAAAACACCAAAAAACUGGGUUAUCUUAUUUCUCAUUCAGACCAGUUUCUGGGCUCCUGUGGCUUGCCCCAGAUCUCCCUCUCUGCUGCUGGUAACCGGUGGGAGGGAGCAUGACUUUCUGGGGAGACCUCCAAGAAUGCCACAGAGUGAUGGAAACCCAGCACAACAACGUGGGAAAGUGCCACAAAGUGUCUUAUGUAAUAUAUAUAUGCUAUGUAAACAUGUUUUAUAUAUUGUAUAAAUAUGCAUGCGCACUGUAUAAAAUAUGUAUUUUCUUAAUUUCGGUUCUCUGGUUUGAGAGAGAAGCAGUGUAGCGUGUGUGUGAAGUGGCGAACGUGGAAGGAAAUGAGUUCGGCACGUAACAGCGUGCACAGAAAACCUGCCACUCAACUGCCUUCCACCCCUUCAUUCAGCAUCUACUGACACCCGCUGUGUCCCGUCCAGGGGCUCAAAGACAGACAAAGGAAGGAGCUCCAUUAACAGGAGCGUUUGGGGAAAAAGACAAAAACACUAAUCACCAUCCGAAAUGUACAUGCUAUUUCCCA
Peromyscus maniculatus bairdii (prairie deer mouse) is the source of this 3275-nucleotide non-coding RNA. Lineage: Eukaryota; Metazoa; Chordata; Mammalia; Rodentia; Cricetidae. The record is from RefSeq and is a predicted model, not a curated record.